AGGAGAACAUUUCCCCCAUUUAGGUUGGUUACAUGCUGUUAAUAAAAUAACUCGUGGAUCAAUGAAUAAAACGUGAUAUUCUUAACAAAAUCAGUUACAGUCUAGCAAAUAAAAAAUCGCCAUCUAUCAUUCUUCUUAAAUGACUGAAUUGACACAAAACUUACAGAGAUAUCUACAAAUACCCCCGUUCUGCAGAGAAAGACGUGCAAUUGGGUAAGAUUGAUAUUAAAGGAAGAUAAAUAAUGCGAAAAAAGGGUGAAAGGGUAUUAUAAGCCCUGCAUACAUUGAGUGCCUAUAGAUUGCUAUACAAUAAUGGGAAGGGUGAUCCACAGUUGGAAAUUGCACACCACAUAGCAACUUUACGCCAGCAGGGAUACUAAAGCGAUCUCGAAUUUCAUCCAAAUCAUUCUCGUUAAUAUUAGUAAAAAUCUCUGAGGCCGCAAAGACCUCUCUAUCCUUUAUAUUAAUAUCCAAGUCAAUUAAAGGGUUGUAAACCUCAUCGACCCUGGACUGAGAACUAUCCCUGGAAAUUCUAGUUAGCCCCGAAAGUAGAUAGAUUCGCUUAAAAAAAGACCAUGACUCAGCGUGACGAGAUCUUUUGAAGAGGAAAGUAUGCCAGGAGAAGAAUCCCUAAGUCUAGAACUUUCAACUUCAAAAUCUUGUGACAUAUUUUGGGACUCGCUUUGAGAACAGCAAUACAAGACUUUAAUUGAUGCAAUUUUAAAAAUGAAGCAGUAGUAUAAACAAAUAAUAGAUAGAGCUCAAGGACUCCUUGUUGUUUAGUUGCUCAAACUUCUGCUGUGUGGCCCUAGUAUCCUAUCAUUCUUUGCAGAUGUCUUCCAGUCCAAAAGUCACUCCCUGUUGAUUGUAAUUUAUACUGGUUAUUGCUCUGGUCUGUUGCGGGUUGGAAGUACAAUGAAAUAUUAUCUGACAGUCAAUUGCACAAUAGCCAAUGACGGUCGCCAAAGAGAGUGGCGGACGUAGGCGGCUGCUUUGGGCGAUGCUCUUGCCAACAUGAGUUAUAUCCGACGGAUGAGUGGAAUUGAUUCUUGUUGUCGGUCGUUGGUUACUAAAGACAAAAGAUGGUGGCAUACUGGGUAGCAGGUAGCUGUAUGUAGAGGGUUAUUUUGCAAUCCCGCUAUGGGUACAGGGAAACUUCUACCGAAUUCCUACAGGAUUUUAAAAGUAAUUACGUGGCAGGUAAUUAAAAAACAAAAUGAAGAAAAGAAAAACCCAAAUGCUGAAGAAUUAAGUCGUCUCUGUAAUCUUCAUUUUACCCCACCAUCGAAGACAACCCUUUAUACCCAAUACCAACGCCGUUCACUGAUCGUCGAACGAACCCAACGAAGGUGAAAUCGACCCUGGUACUAACCUCCACCUUAAGUCGGCGAUGAAGUAGCGCAGCAAAGAACACCCAAAGUAAUUUGUGAAAUUCGCGACUGUAGCACUAACCUCCUUCGCCUCCAGCCGAAUCAACAGAUAACAUUGGGUAAGCAUUCUGUUGGGCAUAUCUAUAUUUGCAUAUAGCUUCGAGAAGACGUUGGUUUUUAUGCGUGUAAGAAUGCUAUACUCAUGGCUAUUUCUUUUGGAAUUAGAACCAUCAUUUAAACCGUUGGUUUUUAUGCGUGUACGAAUGCUAUACUCAUGGCUAUUUCUUUUGGAAUUAGAACCACCAUUUAAACCGUAUUUGAGGACAAAGAGUUUUAAACCUGUGAUAGAACUCUCAAACAUCAUGAUAUCCACAGUGUGUAGUUCGGUUUCUCUCCAAUAGUCACCUUAAAUUUCAGUAUUCCCACCUCACACAGCAUCAAAACAAUGGUUGUUACUUCACAUAGAGCUCAUUAUGAAGACUACUAUUCUUCAUUACAGAUAAAGUAAAGUUAUUGAAAUUUGCACUCUUCAGUGUGCAAUGCUUUCUUCAAAUUAUAAUUCAUGGGCAAAAUUGAGUGACUGCCACAAGUUGUUGCUAGAAAAACUCUUUAAAAUGGACGGCUCUCCAACUAUUUAAAGAAAUGUGACACUGGAGUUUUGUGUUAUGUUUGGUUGUGAUGUGCUUGAGAUUAAAAUUGAUGUGUUUGUAAGAAUUUCUACUUCAUCUUGCGAGAUUUAGUAAACUCCGUAUAAGAAUGUUAUGUUGCUGAAAGUUGAAGAUUACUGACUGGAACUUCAAAUAUUUGAGUUUGUUCAUGAACAUAAAUUAACACUGUUUCAUUUACAGCAAUCGACAAGAAUGAGAGGGAAAAUUUUGGAGUAUGUCACGGUUGUAGAAGAAACACGCAUUAUUUUGGACAAUGCCAAUCAAAACGCCGAUGCCCUAGUUGUGACCACGGAUAUUGAAAAUGUUUUGAGGUCAAACGGGAUACCAGUAACAAAGGGCGAUUGUUCUUUACAUGUAGUGAUAACUGUGGAUACUUUGAUUGGGUGAAAAAUGAAGUUGUAGGUGACGAAUCGAGUUUCGUUAAUCGUCCAGAUGCGCCCGACAAGGAAGAUGAAGAGUUCCCGAGACAGUUCGAUGGGCUAGCUAGAAUUAGCGAGAAAUGAGGCGUCGACAUAUCAUUGCACAUGACUUUCAAUAAGGAAAAAUGAAUAGAUAAAUGCAACGGGAAGGGAAAGGGGUCAGAUUAAAUGGGUGAUUUGAGUUAUUGUAUGUGGUUGACACACUAAUGUGAUGUGAAUUUCAGACGUGUUUAAGGAUAUGUUGGUGUUAUUUCAAUUUGUAUUUUGUAUGUUUUGAAAUGUGAAUAUACUGUCCUUAAUUUAUGUAUGCAGCCUAGGUUAGUAGAUACAAGAGUUAUGUGUGUUCUAUAUCCCAUCUACAGUAUUUGGUUUGGGGUUACUCUUGAUGCUGUCUAUCAAUAAUCUUGUUUGCAGUAAAUGGGUGUUAAUGAUGUUUGCAGUGAAUGGGUGUUCUAUAUCCCAUCUACAUGUCCCUCUUGUUUGCAG
RNAcentral lists this long non-coding RNA (2943 nucleotides) under Olea europaea subsp. europaea. Lineage: Eukaryota; Viridiplantae; Streptophyta; Magnoliopsida; Lamiales; Oleaceae. The record is from RNAcentral.